RNAcentral lists this ribosomal RNA (404 nucleotides) under Actinomycetes bacterium. Its description in RNAcentral is "Actinobacteria bacterium partial 16S ribosomal RNA". It matches the Rfam family "Bacterial small subunit ribosomal RNA", at positions 355 to 776 of the family's 1533-position model. Lineage: Bacteria; Bacillati; Actinomycetota; Actinomycetes. The record is from RNAcentral.
UGGGGAAUAUUGGACAAUGGGCGCAAGCCUGAUCCAGCCAUGCCGCGUGAGUGAUGAAGGCCCUAGGGUUGUAAAGCUCUUUCACCGGUGAAGAUAAUGACGGUAACCGGAGAAGAAGCCCCGGCUAACGUCGUGCCAGCAGCCGCGGUAAUACGAAGGGGGCUAGCGUUGUUCGGAUUUACUGGGCGUAAAGCGCACGUAGGCGGACUUUUAAGUCAGGGGUGAAAUCCCGGGGCUCAACCCCGGAACUGCCUUUGAUACUGGAAGUCUUGAGUAUGGUAGAGGUGAGUGGAAUUCCGAGUGUAGAGGUGAAAUUCGUAGAUAUUCGGAGGAACACCAGUGGCGAAGGCGGCUCACUGGCUCGAUACUGACGCUGAGGUGCGAAAGCGUGGGGAGCAAACAGG